Otolemur garnettii (small-eared galago) is the source of this 317-nucleotide long non-coding RNA. RefSeq lists it as uncharacterized. The transcript is spliced from 3 exons. The record is from RefSeq and is a predicted model, not a curated record. Lineage: Eukaryota; Metazoa; Chordata; Mammalia; Primates; Galagidae.
UGCACAAGCCCAGGGAGCCCGGGAGCAACGAAGGGCAGGCUCAAGGCAAGGCCCCACCAAGUCCUUUUGGGGGGGCCUUGAAAGGCAACUGAUACAUAAUAAGACACAAUCUAUUCUGCUGAUUCACAAUUAUGGAGACUGUGUAAUUGAAGAUACUCGAGAGACCUGGAAAUAAACCCUCCAAGGAAGAGAGGAUUUGCCCGCCUUUGGCUCUGAGUGCUCAUUGAACUUCUGUGCCCAACAUUGGGCCGUGAAGACACAACACCCAGCAGUUGUUUCAACAGUAACUUGAGGCCCAUCAGAUUUGAACAAAGGAA